ACUUUCAAAGCAGCUGUUGCUAUCACCCACAAUGGCCAAAGAAUAACCACAGUCAUGCAUCCCUGAAGCACCUCUUUAGAGCUACAUGACCACCUCGUGUAUGAUUUAACUGCAAAAUGUCCUUCCAGAAAACGAAAAUUUUCUGUGUAGCAAUGUUAUAAACCAAUUACAUAUUGUAGAAAAGUCACUGAAUAUUCAGUCAUUGAAUAACCACUAUGUGCCAGUUACUGUUCAAAAUAUAUUUGUAGUUAUGUGAAGCCACUUUUUUCUACUAAUGAUUUUAAAAUAGGACCACAAUUCAUGUUUCUUAAAAAAACGUUAUCAUUGGGGCUGGCCCCGCAGCCGAGUGGUUAAGUUCGCGCGCUCCGCUGCAGGCGGCCCAGUGUUUCGUUGGUUCGAAUCCUGGGCGCAGACAUGGCACUGCUCAUCAAACCACGCUGAGGCAGCGUCCCACAUGCCACAACUAGAAGGAUGCACACGAAGAAUAUACAACUAUGUACCGGGGGGCUUUGGGGAGAAAAGGGAAAAAAUAAAAUCUUAAAAAAACAAAACAAAACAUUAUCAUCAAUAGGGGAAGUCUGUCCUUCUAUUGACUAUGACAGCUAGGCAUGCAUCAGGUUGAUAUCCAUCCACAAAGAUAAUCUAGCAAUCAGAACAGGCUUUAAAGUGCUCUGGUAAUAAAAGAUCUUUACUCUGUAAUUUACUCAAGUUAGAUGUUUAAUAAAAUGAGUUAUGGCAAGAGGAGUUCUAGGCCCCACAAAAUUAUAGGCAUUUGGGGGCUCCUGAGAACUAACAGGGAUCUGUGCCCAGGGAAUGAAUCAGCAACACUUUUGUUUCGUCUAAAAACUCCCCCUACAAACACCCCUUGAUCCGCUGGGCUGGCCCCUGGAGCUCAUGUUGAACUAUAUGACCUGACUACAGCUAAGUGGACUGGAGAUCAGCACAGAGCUCUAACUGGGCAAAUCUGAUCCUCUCAUCAAGAAUUUGGAAUUAGGGGGCCGGCCUGGUGGCGCAGUGGUUAAGUUCGCCGGUUCCGCUCCUCCACAGCCCGGGGUUCGCCGGUUCAGAUCCUAGGUGUGGACAUGGCACCGCUUGGCACGCCAUGCUGUGGUAGGCGUCCCACGUAUAAAGUAGAGGAAGAUGGGCAUGGAUGUUAGCUCAGGGCCAGGCUUCCUCAGCAAAAAGAGGAGGGCUGGCAGUAGUUAGCUCAGGGCUAAUCUUCCUCCAAAAAAAAAAAAAAAAAAAAGAAUUUGGAAUUGGGUCCAAAGAAAGUUGAGUUAGUUUCAUCAUAUAGCUGCACCUGCAAAAUGUAACCCUGGAGCUGCAAGGCCACCGAGUCCAACUUAACCGAGGAGUAGAGACAGCAACCCACAGAAAGAAAACUAUGGAGCAAAUAAGUAUGAAAGAAGAGACCAAAGACACAGAGAUCCCCGAUGGCUUUCAGUUCCUCGGUUAAGCUCU
This 1461-nucleotide long non-coding RNA is filed under the name Equus caballus (horse). Its description in RNAcentral is "lncRNA (ENSECAG00000056768.1)". The record is from RNAcentral. Lineage: Eukaryota; Metazoa; Chordata; Mammalia; Perissodactyla; Equidae.